RNAcentral lists this ribosomal RNA (405 nucleotides) under uncultured Eubacteriales bacterium. RNAcentral describes it as "uncultured Clostridiales bacterium partial 16S ribosomal RNA". It matches the Rfam family "Bacterial small subunit ribosomal RNA", at positions 355 to 774 of the family's 1533-position model. The record is from RNAcentral. Lineage: Bacteria; Bacillati; Bacillota; Clostridia; Eubacteriales.
UGGGGAAUAUUGCACAAUGGGGGAAACCCUGAUGCAGCAACGCCGCGUGAAGGAUGAAGGUUUUCGGAUUGUAAACUUCUUUGAUCGGGGACGAAACAAAUGACGGUACCCGAAGAACAAGCCACGGCUAACUACGUGCCAGCAGCCGCGGUAAUACGUAGGUGGCGAGCGUUGUCCGGAAUUACUGGGUGUAAAGGGCGUGUAGGCGGGUCUGCAAGUCAGAUGUGAAAUUCCGAAGCUUAACUUCGGAGCUGCAUUUGAAACUGUGGAUCUUGAGUACUGGAGAGGAAAGCGGAAUUCCUAGUGUAGCGGUGAAAUGCGUAGAUAUUAGGAGGAACACCGGUGGCGAAGGCGGCUUUCUGGACAGAAACUGACGCUGAGGCGCGAAAGCGUGGGGAGCAAACA